UACGGAAGGCCAGCAGUGGGGAAUAUUGCACAAUGGGCGCAAGCCUGAUGCAGCCAUGCCGCGUGUAUGAAGAAGGCCUUCGGGUUGUAAAGUACUUUCAGUCGUGAGGAAGGUGUUAAGGUUAAUAACCUUAGCAAUUGACGUUAGCGACAGAAGAAGCACCGGCUAACUCCGUGCCAGCAGCCGCGGUAAUACGGAGGGUGCGAGCGUUAAUCGGAAUUACUGGGCGUAAAGGGCACGCAGGCGGUUAAUUAAGUUGGAUGUGAAAUCCCCGGGCUUAACCUGGGAAUGGCAUUCAAGACUGGUUAGCUAGAGUCUUGUAGAGGGGGUAGAAUUCCAUGUGUAGCGGUGAAAUGCGUAGAGAUGUGGAGGAAUACCGGUGGCGAAGGCGGCCCCUGGACAAAGACUGACGCUCAUGUGCGAAAGCGUGGGGAGCAAACAGGAUUAGAUACC
RNAcentral lists this ribosomal RNA (453 nucleotides) under uncultured bacterium. RNAcentral describes it as "bacterial SSU rRNA". It matches the Rfam family "Bacterial small subunit ribosomal RNA", at positions 340 to 786 of the family's 1533-position model. The record is from RNAcentral.